This 433-nucleotide ribosomal RNA is filed under the name uncultured bacterium. RNAcentral describes it as "partial 16S ribosomal RNA". It matches the Rfam family "Bacterial small subunit ribosomal RNA", at positions 29 to 507 of the family's 1533-position model. The record is from RNAcentral.
AGCGAACGCUGGCGGCAGGCCUAACACAUGCAAGUCGAACGGAUCCUUCGGGAUUAGUGGCGGACGGGUGAGUAACACGUGGGAACGUGCCCUUUGGUUCGGAACAACUCAGGGAGACUUGAGCUAAUACCGGAUGUGCCCUUCGGGGGAAAGAUUUAUCGCCAUUGGAGCGGCCCGCGUCUGAUUAGCUAGUUGGUGAGGUAACGGACCACCAAGGCGACGAUCAGUAGCUGGUCUGAGAGGAUGAUCAGCCACACUGGGACUGAGACACGGCCCAGACUCCUACGGGAAGCAGCAGUGGGGAAUCUUGCGCAAUGGGCGAAAGCCUGACGCAGCCAUGCCGCGUGAAUGAUGAAGGUCUUAGGAUUGUAAAAUUCUUUCAGCGGGGACGAUAAUGACGGUACCCGCAGAAGAAGCUCCGGCUAACUUCGUG